RNAcentral lists this ribosomal RNA (469 nucleotides) under uncultured bacterium. Its description in RNAcentral is "SSU rRNA". It matches the Rfam family "Bacterial small subunit ribosomal RNA", at positions 26 to 518 of the family's 1533-position model. The record is from RNAcentral.
AGGACGAACGCUGGCGGCGUGCUUAACACAUGCAAGUCGAGCGGAAAGGCCCUUCGGGGUACUCGAGCGGCGAACGGGUGAGUAACACGUGAGUAAUCUGCCCCUAGCUCUGGGAUAGCUCCGGGAAACCGGGAUUAAUACCAGAUACGACCACUUUAGACAUCUUCUGUGGUGGAAAGAACUUCGGCUAGGGAUGAACUCGCGGCCUAUCAGCUUGUUGGUGAGGUAACGGCUCACCAAGGCGACGACGGGUAGCCGGCCUGAGAGGGCGACCGGCCACACUGGGACUGAGACACGGCCCAGACUCCUACGGGAGGCAGCAGUGGGGAAUAUUGCGCAAUGGGCGAAAGCCUGACGCAGCGACGCCGCGUGGGGAUGAAGGCCUUCGGGUUGUAACCCUUUCAGCAGGACGAAGCGAAGUGACGGUACCUGCAGAAGAAGCGCCGGCUAACUACGUGCCAGCAGCCGC